AACGAACGCUGGCGGCAUGCCUAACACAUGCAAGUCGAACGAGACCUUCGGGUCUAGUGGCGCACGGGUGCGUAACGCGUGGGAACCUGCCCUUAGGUUCGGAAUAACUCCCCGAAAGGGGUGCUAAUACCGGAUAAUGUCUUCGGACCAAAGAUUUAUCGCCUUUGGAUGGGCCCGCGUUGGAUUAGCUAGUUGGUAGGGUAAAAGCCUACCAAGGCGACGAUCCAUAGCUGGUCUGAGAGGAGGAUCAGCCACACUGGGACUGAGACACGGCCCAGACUCCUACGGGAGGCAGCAGUGGGGAAUAUUGGACGAGGGGCGAAAGCCUGAUCCAGCAAUGCCGCGUGAGUGAUGAAGGCCUUAGGGUUGUAAAGCUCUUUUACCCGAGAUGAUAAUGACAGUACCGGGAGAAUAAGCGCCGGCUAACUCCGUG
This 433-nucleotide ribosomal RNA is filed under the name uncultured bacterium. Its description in RNAcentral is "partial 16S ribosomal RNA". It matches the Rfam family "Bacterial small subunit ribosomal RNA", at positions 29 to 507 of the family's 1533-position model. The record is from RNAcentral.